This 253-nucleotide unclassified non-coding RNA is filed under the name uncultured Alphaproteobacteria bacterium. RNAcentral describes it as "contains 16S-23S intergenic spacer region". It matches the Rfam family "Bacterial small subunit ribosomal RNA", at positions 524 to 776 of the family's 1533-position model. The record is from RNAcentral. Lineage: Bacteria; Pseudomonadati; Pseudomonadota; Alphaproteobacteria.
UACGAAGGGGGCUAGCGUUGUUCGGAAUUACUGGGCGUAAAGCGCACGUAGGCGGAUUGUACAGUCAGACGUGAAAUUCCUGGGCUCAACCUGGGGACUGCGUUUGAGACGUAUAGUCUUGAGUGAGGAAGAGGGUUGUGGAAUUCCCAGUGUAGAGGUGAAAUUCGUAGAUAUUGGGAAGAACACCGGUGGCGAAGGCGGCAACCUGGUCCUUUACUGACGCUGAGGCGCGAAAGCGUGGGGAGCAAACAGG